Molecule: ribosomal RNA, 394 nt
Filed under: uncultured bacterium
Lineage: Bacteria
Description: bacterial SSU rRNA
Rfam family: Bacterial small subunit ribosomal RNA
Source: RNAcentral
UGGGGAAGUCUUAGUCAAUGGGCGCAAGCCUGAUCUAGCCAUGCCGCGUGAGCGAUGAAGGCCUUAGGGUUGUAAGCUCUUUCGUGGGGAAGGCUGUACCCCAAGAAGAAGCCCCGGCUAACUCCGUGCCAGCAGCCGCGGUAAUACGGAGGGGGCGAGCGUUGUUCGGAAUUACUGGGCGUAAAGCGCACGUAGGCGGACUGGAAAGUCAGGGGUGAAAUCCCGGGGCUCAACCCGGAACUGCCUUUGAAACUCCCGGUCUUGAGGUCGUGAGAGGUGAGUGGAAUUCCGAGUGUAGAGGUGAAAUUCGUAGAUAUUCGGAGGAACACCAGUGGCGAAGGCGGCUCACUGGCACGAUACUGACGCUGAGGUGCGAAAGCGUGGGGAGCGAAAC